UUGCUCGGUCCUUGGAGAGUGGGUUUCUACCUGUUUGGGUGUUUCACCCUUCCCGUCCCCUCCCUCUGCCUGCCGUGUGCCGGGGGGUGGUGGGAUUAGCAGGGUCGCUGUUCCUCAGCCUCUCCGGAGAAAACCCGGGGAAGGGGAGAGCUCCUUCACGCUCAUGGAUGCAUGGGGGGGCCCCACGCCCCGCUGGAGCCGUCGCCGCGGGGCCCGAUUGCUGCUGCUGCUGCUGACCGUGCGGCUGGGGAGCGGAGCUGAUAAAGCGGAUGAUGAAGAUGAUGAAGAUCUAAUGGUGAAUAAAACAUGGGUCCUUGCACCAAAGAUUCAUGGUGGAGAUGUAACUCACAUACUGGACUCCUUACUUCAAGGAUAUGACAAUAAGCUUCGGCCAGAUAUUGGGGUGAGAACUACGGUAAUUGAAACAGAUGUCUAUGUAAACAGCAUCGGCCCAGUUGACCCAAUCAAUAUGGAAUACACUAUAGAUAUAAUUUUUGCCCAGACUUGGUAUGACAGUCGUCUAAAAUUUAACAGCUCAAUGAAGGUGCUUAUGCUUAAUAGCAAUAUGGUUGGAAAAAUUUGGAUUCCAGACACUUUCUUCAGGAACUCAAGGAAAUCUGAUGCUCACUGGAUUACAACUCCAAAUCGUUUGCUUCGAAUCUGGAGUGAUGGAAGAGUAUUAUACACUCUAAGGCUGACAAUUAAUGCUGAAUGUUAUCUUCAGCUUCAUAAUUUUCCUAUGGAUGAACACUCCUGUCCUCUGGAGUUUUCAAGCUAUGGAUAUCCCAGAAAUGAAAUUGAAUACAAAUGGAAGAAAACCUCUGUGGAAGUGGCAGAUCCAAAAUACUGGAGAUUGUAUCAGUUUGCAUUUGUAGGGUUACGAAACACAACUGAAAUUUCUCAUACCUUGUCUGGUGAUUAUAUUAUUAUGACAAUCUUCUUUGAUCUCAGCAGACGUAUGGGAUAUUUUACUAUUCAGACAUACAUUCCUUGUAUACUCACAGUUGUUCUUUCAUGGGUGUCAUUUUGGAUCAAUAAAGAUGCAGUUCCUGCAAGGACUUCUCUGGGCAUCACAACGGUGCUGACCAUGACAACACUGAGUACAAUUGCCAGAAAGUCACUCCCAAAGGUUUCCUAUGUGACAGCAAUGGACCUUUUUGUCUCAGUUUGUUUCAUUUUUGUGUUUGCUGCCUUGAUGGAAUAUGGCACCUUGCAUUACUUUACCAGCAAUAGAAAAGGGGACAAAGGAAAACAAAAGAAGGCAAAAUCUAAGCCAUCAAAACCACCUGCAAUCGCUGUUCGACCUGGAUCAACGCUAAUUCCAAUUAAUAACAUUAAUCAUCUCCCUGAACGUGAUGAUGAUUAUGGAUAUGAGUGCCUUGAAGGAAAAGACUGUGCUAGCUUCUUUUGUUGUUUUGAAGACUGCCGCACAGGAUCUUGGCGAGAAGGAAGAAUACACAUCCGUAUUGCAAAAAUUGACUCCUAUUCUCGAAUAUUCUUUCCUACUGCCUUUGCAUUAUUCAAUCUUGUUUAUUGGAUUGGCUAUCUUUAUCUAUAAAUUUCAGAUUUGACAAACUCAGAAAAAAAUUCUAAUUGAAUAGUCAUUAAUACUUUUAACUGAGCAAUCAAAAAUUAGAGUUGGUCCAAAAUUACUUAAAUUGUAAUGCUUUAAAAAUUCGAAACAAUGAGAGGAAAUAUGAUGAUGUAGUCUCCCUCUUGUGAUCAACUAUAGAACUGAUGGUGGUAUUUUGAAGAGAAAAUUUAAAAAUAAGAUUUAUCUUUCCUUAACACACAUACACAGUUUUUUCCAGCUAUAAGAAAAUGCAGAGUCAAGAGGCUAUGUUAUUUAACUGGACAGUUCUACAUAAGCUUUCAGUUUUAAUCCUUAACGAUAAUGCAGAAGGAUUUUUGUAGCAUCUCUUACACCUUACAAAGAAAGCCUUAAUAAAGUGGGAUUAGUUAGUCUCAUCCGUUUCAUCCAUAAGGUGAUGAUUUUAUUAAUCCCUGAUUUUAAAAAGUUGAAAUGUAACAUUUCCCUUUUCAAUCUGCAGUAUUUUAAAAAGCAUGAUUAAGUCAUAAUUAAUCAAUUCAGAUUUAUACAGAAUGCAAAUGUUAGAGCAGCAAGAAAUGGAUAUAUCAAAACAUCCAGGGGUAAUUCUGAGCUUGUCUUAUCCUGACUGUUGAUAGAGGCUUUUGGCUUUCAGCCUUAGAUUACGUUUAUGUCUGUGCUUAAUCUCCUGUUACUUCACUGUUGUGAGUUCCCAGAAGUUGUGCAAGAGGGCUACAACUUUCAAAAAUUCUUACCCAGCUGCCAUUGCUUGCUGAUUUAAUGGAAAACAGACUGGUGUUGGCUGAGAUUCUGAGCAUUAAACACAGCACUCUUCACAUCCUCUCAUUUGUCUGAUUCAUACUCAGUGCCAGAGAAAAAUGCAUACCUCUACUUUUGGCAGAAUUUGUAUCAGCAGAGUUUGGAAAACCUGUAACAGCGUUGUAGUCACCGUACUCAAAGCCACUGUGUUAAAUCUCCAGUCUUGAGAGUGUAGUGUGUGAUCUGCUCCACUGUGCAUAUAGUAUGAUUCUGUUUGUUACUGCAGAUGCUGCUCACUGAGCCAAAGCCAAGUGGUAUUAAUUUACUGAGCCUGUGGUAUGGAUUGCUGGGUAAUUACCUUCUUGGUAUUAGUUUCUUUCUAAUGGAUAAGUCAUGUUAUGGAGAGGGAGUUAAAAUAUCCUUAUUCAUUGCAGAUCCUUCUCCAUUGAUGCAUCCCCCCAAAAAAUCAUAGGACCAGUUCUUCAUCCUUUCUGUGGUCAGAGCUUUUCAUCACUUUGGUAGCAAUUCUUCAGUAGUAGCCUUUCUGGACUGCCUUCUCUGUGUUGACUGUUGCUGACUGGCAGCAUUUGGUAUCUCAUUUCUAUUUCUAAAUCCAUUGUCUUCAUUAUGGAAAAGUGCAGUCUUUCCUCCAUUCUCGAAAAGGAACCAGUCUCAAGUGAGCUUGCAAAAAUCACUGUAAAAUGAAGAUAUACAUUAACUAAAAGUCAGCAUUACACCGAAGACCUUACAGAUCUUUAAAGAGGAUUAAUGGGAUUAGCAUUUGGCUGUAGGUAAGGAUGUUCAGUACUAAAGAUAAAGACAUGAUUAAUAGCUAAGAAUAGAUAAUGUUAUAUGAAAAGCCCACUCCCAAUAUUUCUGUUAAAUGUGCUCCCUCCUCUGAAUUUCUCAGAAAAGAUUAAUGUAUAUUUAUAUUCUAGUUUGUACCAGGCAUAAUAAGAUAUGAUAUGCAAUAUGCAUUUCAGAGGAAAUGCUACUGUGGUGUUCAACCCCAAAGUGUAAUAGAAAAUGCAAGACUGUGCAGUCAUACUGAAAAGAAGAGUGAAAGAAGAUCCAAUUUUAAUGAAAACUUUAUUUCAGUAUUUAGCUGAUGAAAUAUAGGAGUGGUUGAGAGAAUCUGAAAGCCCACUCUCAAGGAUGGCUGACAUUGUUUGUUGUGUGACCUUUCUGAGUACCAACUUCUGACUGGUAGACUAAGCAUAGCAAUGUGGCAUGAUUAUCAGCUCUGAUUUGCUAUAAUUUAUUGGUUUUUAGAGUCUCACUUUCAGAAAAUGUUCAGUCCAAUGGAAAUAUGUCAGUUUUAAUUCCAUAAUGUAAUUUGAUGCUUUUUGACAGCACAUUAAACACAUUCUUCUGUAGGAGGUAUGAAGGUGGCGUCAGCAGCACGUUGGAUGUGUACUUGAAAAGUAGUCAGCUUGCUAUACAAUACAAGAUAUAGAUUUUGUGAGCCCCUGAGUUUCAUUAAUUCACCUUUAAACAAAAGAAACUUGAAAGAACUUGGCACUUCACAAGAGGAAAUACAAAUUUCACAGCCUGCUCUUCUCUGGCACAUCUAGUUAGCUUUUUCUAUUCAUGUGGUUGUCAGUUGCCAGUCAGCCUCCAGUGACUGAAUUGGAGAACAGAAAACAUCCAGAAUUGGCAAGGGAUGGAUAAGAAGCCUUUCAUCUCUAAUUUCUAUGAAACAAUGUAAUGGAGUAUUAAACCUAUUGAAUGUUAUGGCUGUUUGGCUUAUGGAUACACUUGCUUCUGUCUGUUGACAAACUUUUCUGUGUACUUCAUUUGUUUCUGAUGAAAUAAUUUUAGUUUCCCAUAGUACUGCGAGUGCAAAUAGAAACGGAAUGUAGUGAACUGUAACAUGGCAUGUAAUAAAUGUGUUAUUUUAGUCCUAUGUGUUUUCUUUCUAAUCUGCAUGUAAGCACUUGAUUCCCAGAAAUCUAAGUAAUACUCAAAAAAAUGGCAAGGAACAGACAGUAUAAUUACUUGGACCUAGAUGCUGCAAUCAUUUUUCAAACUUACGCAGAUAAAAGUUUGUUUACUGUUAGCUGGGAUCAUAGUAUUUUGGAGUCAUAUUAUUCUGACCAUCAUUGCAUAAGCACAUGCUUAAACCUAGUCCUAGUCAGUACUGUUAUUAGACCAGAAUUCAGAAAAGUGAGUGCUUAUGUACUGUCAUAAAUAGUGAUGCUAUCGUGAAUUGAGGCCAUUAACACAUGCUUAAUUUGCACUAAUUUCAAUAAUGAGUGUUCAGUAGCUUAAAUAAUUGAACACUAAGGAUGUGAACCAGAGCCUUUUUCAGUAAGAGAUUUUCUCACUGAAAGAGGGGGACUUAAGAGGAGAAAUUGCCAUAAAGGUAGAGAGGCGAAAAAUUCUGGGGAAACUGUUUUAUACUGCACCUAUCUUAGGCAUUUCUUGAAAUGUAUUUUUCAAAAAAGAGAUUUUUCCUUGAUAUUUCUGUAUUAGUGUUUACCACUUGUCUGUUUAAGUAGUGAGUACAGAUCAGCGUGUUAUUUUUUGGUAAGGUUCUGUCUAUGAUUGUACCUCACUGAUCUUCAGUGCAUGUCUUUUGUGUCUGAAUGAAUCUUUUUAUGUAGUGGCAGUGCAACCAAAGCAUGAGCUCUGGGUAACGCAUUUUAUAUUCACAUGUUGAUAUGCUUCAAAGACUUUAACCUUAUCCAGUUUUCUGACAUUCAGAGAUAUGGGAUUGUGUAAGACUUUGAAGGAGAAUCACCUCCAACAUGGUUUUUAUAAUUUUCUGUUGUUUAUCUGGUAUGAUAGUAAAAACAGUUGUUUAAAAUUGAUAUAUGAAAUGUGCUUUGUAAUUUGUGAACACCUUUAACCUUACAAAUGAAAACCCAACAGGAGGAGUCUGGAUUUAAAUAUCUAUUUGCCUAAAGUAAAACAUGUUUUCUCAAUUGUAUUGGUCAUCAUUUCAGUUUACUGUUUCCAAAUAGCUGAGAACUAGGGCAAAUAAAUUUUUUAAAAAAUUGAUUGUUAAUGUAAUUAUUUUUAAAAAAUUGAUCGUAGUUUCAGUUAUACAUUAGAUAUGAUCUUUUAUGUUUGUGAACCAAUACUGUAUUUUUUAGUCAUUAUAAUAGAUACAGAAAAUAGAAACUAAUGUAGAAUUCCUCAGCUGAAAAACAAAAAACCAGGAAUUAGAAAUAAUUACUGUGCUUUCAUUCCUGAAAAAGCUCAGUGAUGUCCACAUGCCCCAAUGAAUUUGCUGACAGGGGGGAGAGACUGACUUAGACAGAGAGGUAGAAUAGUCUCCAGGCUGUAGAAAAGGCCUUUGCAUUGGUUCAUGCCGUGGAUUUGCUACCCAAGUGGUUCAAACUGAGGAAAGUGAUCUUUGGCUUCUGAUUCAUUUCUAUCAGAAACAGUAGUUCUAAUGCUGUGUUACCAGAUGAAUCAAAACCUGAAAAAUCAUCUUAGUAAGUUAGUGUUUCAGCCAGAUUGGUGGGAUCAUCUGACUGAAGCUGCAAGACUAUGACGAAAUUUUGCUCCAAGACAGGUGAUGGGAGCUUGCAGCUAGAGGCAAAAGGAUGUCUUCUUAUGAUAGGCAUAUUUCAUUCAGCUGAAAAUCUGCUCUGAAAACUGGUGAGGAAGAAAGGAAAAGAUGGGAUAAGGUAAAGAUUGAUGGUGGCAGUGAUCCCAGAAUCAAGUUGCAUGGAACUGAGCGAGUUAUAUUUAGUUAAUAGAUUUCUCAGUAGAAUUUGUGAUAAUGCUCUUGAUUUCACUGCAACAUAAUUAAGUACUUUUAAUAUUAAAAAAAAGAAGAAAAUACUGUGCAUUUCCUAUACAUUAAUUACAGACUGAAUGAGCAAUAAAAAGUUGUCUUGAGUGAUCAUAAUGUCAGACAGAAAAACAGAGAUCAGGUUAGAUCAGCAAAAGAUCAUCUUUUUUCCUCCUUUUUUUAUUAAUGAUAAACUAUUUUUAAAAUUAAGGAGUACUAAUUCUCGGAAAGGCCUAGUGCCCAGGUGUCUACACUGCUGUAAGUCCCUUUGAGGGCUAAAAAAAUUUGGGAAUGGAAACUUGUCUCAGACUGCUUUCAGUCAUUGAAUCAGAGAGUGGGUAAGGUGGAUUAUGAUCAUGCCAGGCAUGAACUAGGAUAGCUGGUGUACCCCAGGGAGAUUGGUAACAGUUUCUGGUUAAAAGGGUGAUUUCUGCCUGAGAGACUAUAAUCUUCCCUUCAGAAGAUGGAUCUGUGCUGUUAUUUCCAGAAUGAUGGAAAAGCAUCCCUGUCCUUAAUGUUUGUCUUUGCACAGGCACAGAUUCAUUGAGAUGAUUGUCCUGCUAUGAAACUCUGAGGUAUUCCCCAUGUAGAGUAUAGGAGAAGAGUUUUGGUUGCACUCCUGGGCAAGGUCUCUAAAUCGUGUCAUAAGGCUCAGUAUUGUGGUUCUUGAGCUGCCUUUUGGAUCUGUUACAAUGCUAGUGAAAAGUCAGUAAAUAAUAAACUUUCGAUUUUACUUACUGGUAAAUCUCAGUGGGAAAGCCAGAGAACUAACAAAGGCUUUAGAGGAAAUCUUAGGAGACAAGAGAGUGGCUAAAAGUGAUAUAGCCCUUUUUACCACAGAUGGGUCUUGUUCACUAGCAAUAUAUUGUUUCUAAAAAAACUGUAAAAGCUUCAUGGUAUUUUAAGGGGGAAAAAGAUAUGUAAAAUUCUCAUUCCCCUUCCCACUGACAAAACGUGCUUUGCCUGCAGAUUUUGCUUAUGGUACAUCAACAUCACUUGAGCUGUGUAAGGAGAGCUACGGGGAUGUAAGAUGACCUGUAAACUGUUCUACCUUGUUCUUUCUCAGUUCCUUUUCUUAGUCAAGAAAAAAGAGGUUCAGAAGAGUAGGCGUGUGGCAUGUGUAAAUGAGGACAAUUUUGCUACUGACAACAGAGGCUGAGUCCCACUAUCUGACAGAAUUGAGAGGGAUGAAACUCUGCUUGCAGUAAUAAGGCUUCUCUUUUGUAAUUCUUUGUAGAAGCUACUUUUCCAUACAUCGCUGCAUGCCUACCUGAGACUCAAAAAUGUUUCAGGUUGGAAGCAAUUCUUUUAUGUGUUUCUGGCUUCACAGAAUGAUCUUUACCAUAAGGGUUUGAGCCUUGCUGAAUUCAAAAAGAAAGGUUUCUUCUUGAAGUUUCCUUGUCCAGGCAUUGCAGGUAGGAGAUGUCUUGCUGCCAAACAUUGGAAAAGUGAUUUUCAGUUGAUCCUGCUGAAAAGGCGCUGUAGGGUGGCAUUGGGAUUCCUUCGUCAUUUAGACUUCAGAAGGUUAAAUUCUGUUAACAGCAAUGACCAGUACUGCCUGAACAGAAGAUAAAUUACUUUUGCCAAUUAAAUAUUUCUAAACAAACCCCAAAACUGUCACUGUGGGUAGGAAAUGAGGAUGAGUCAUUAUUUCACUUCAAGUGUAUAUUUCCCCUUGAAUUGUUUUUCCUUCUUAGGAAGAUGGCAUAUAGGAGUCUUUUGACUUGUGAAAUACAUAGAAAAUAGAUGAUGGUAAUUUUAAACAGGCAAAGUCAUGUUAGUCCCUCUGCCUCCUGAUGACAUAGGAGCAGUAACAACGAAGGCACUUGCCCUAGGGCUCAGAUUUUCCAAGGCAGAUAAAUGUGGACAUUUGUAUAUUCAUAGACCCAGUAUUAGUAUAUGAUCUAUGUUCAUGCUUUAACUGGCCAUUAUAUUUAUAAUGAUUUUUGCAUCUUCACAGUAUCCUUUAUAUUUCUCACUCUUGUCCACUGUGAAUGCUUAGACUUUUUGUCUGAACAUGAAAGGUUACGUCAUUUUACCUUUAGAUACAGUUUCAGUUGCUACAGAAUAUAAAUACUUCCUUAAAUGAAAAUGAGGAAUCAGAAUCUGGCAACCUCAUGGUGAUUCUUAUACUGAAAAAUCUAAUAUUUAUUUUUAAUUACCAUUUCAAUUAAACAAAUAAUGCUGCUAUAGUUUGCAUUCCCCUUCAUUGACAUUUUAUAAACAAUUAAAAUUCAUGGUCUAAACCCAGAAUUUAGAGAAAUAUCCUUCAAAAAUAACACUCGUUGAUUUGUUAUGUCUCUCUGUGUUUAUUAUAUUGAAUUUCCAGUAUUCAAAUACACUCCUAAUGCAAAUCUCUAUCUUGGCAUCUACAGGUACACACAGUGUUUCAGUGACUCAGACUUUGCCCCUUACUAGUACUUUUUUUUUUUUCAUUCAGUAUUUAAAAAAAUGCUGGUAUUUUUAACUGCCUAAGUGAACAUUCAUGCAAUGCAUUUAAUUUGAUAGUGUUUUGGCACCAGUGGACAAUGUUGCAAGAUUAUGCAUCAGUGUUCCUUUUGAAGUUAUUUAUUAAUGCCCUUGUGGAUAACUUACUGCAAGAAAUACAGAACAUUAAGAUAAGCCUUGUAACUCUCUGUGCAGCUUCUAAGGUUUAUAUAUAAAAUACAUGAUAUUGAUGCAAAUUUAUUCUUCCAUUUCAGUUUUCCUUCCAGAAACCUCCUCAAUUGGGCUAAUAUUAUUAUUAUAAGUGUGCUGAUAUUUACAGUUCUGCUCAGUUUUUUGGUACUUUUCCAAUAGCCUUGGAAUGUAGCCAUCCAUUAUUAUAUUCAAUUACCUAGAAACAGUGAGGUAUCCUCACAGGAUUUUAAUGUGAUUAAGCCAUGGCUUCUUCAACCUCUCCUAAAAUACAGUCUUUUGUGUGCAGUACCAAAACUAAAGCGUUUUUAGGUAUCAAAUUGAUUGUUACCUGCUUCUCAGUUUUGACAGUAUCUGUGUGCUUGGUUAGAGUGAAACACUGAUAUCAACAUUUUUAUAUUUGACAACAAUAUUAAUAAGUAUGGCUGAACCAGAAGACUUCAGAGGUGAUAAACAGAUGAUGUUCUUGGCUAAAUCCUAUAUAUAUAAGACUUUGUGAGUGUGAUAGAAAUUAUAAUGGCAAUGACAAUGACAUACGUAUAUAUAUCCAUAUGUAGACUGGAAAGCAAGAUAUGAAAACUUUUAUAUAUACAUCAGCUUCUGAUUGUCAUUUUAACAAGCUUCCACCCCCCGUAAAAAUUGUGUUCUAAAUGUGACCACAAUGGUCCUAAGAAAACCAUUUAAAUUUGCACAGUAAGAAUGUAGAAGUGAUUCAGAAGCCUGAAAUAAUUAUGGUUCCAUUUGAUGGGUCUUGUAGAUUCAUUUUUAAUUUAACUCCUUUUUACUGAGGAAGAAAGAAUACAAAUGCUGUGGUUGAGAUAGACAUGGUUAUCACUAAAGGUAAGUAAAAAUAUCCUCAGUUGAUUUAUAUAUAUAUAUAUACACCUAUAUAUUGGUAGAAGCAAAUUUCUUUAGUGCUGAGGAAGUUGCUGUGAUUGCAUUUGCAGAGUAGAUGGAUUCUGCUUUAUAUUUUCAGAACUCUGUUGGUACCAUGGUAAAAGAUUGACUCAGAGUUUAACAUUUCUUAGUAUACUCUUAGUUUUUGGAUGCCUCAUUUUCUUUUGUACAGUUUAAGACAUGAAUGAAAAAGACCUACUUUUCAAAUGUUUAACCCUUUCUAAAAAUUAUCCCUUGAGCUUUCAGUUUAGAGUACUCCAAAACUGAUUAACUACGCAUCACUGAUAAGGUUUUAAAUAAACUAGAUUGCUUAAGAAUAGUGCAGAAAGUUCAAAUAUGGUUCAAGGCUAGAAAUUCGUAGCCUUUUGUGGGAUUUUUCAAUUUAUUUUCUUAAGUUUCUUGAGAGCUGGGGAGAUAAAAAACAAAUGGAGGGAUUUCACCCUGUAGUUUUGUUUUAUUUUGUUUUCAGCAGUAUAACUCAUGUAGAAUAGUCCAUCAGCUGCUAAAAGGUGAUUUUAGUAGAGGUAAAAUGAGGCUUUGAGACUGAUAACAGAAAUAAUAUUAAGAGAGUCAGAAAGGAAGUGUUCGUGGCACUCAUUAUCAGAAGGGGCUUGGUUGCACAAGGCUUUGGAAACAGAAUUUCUGAAGUAAGAUUAUGGGAGAGAGCCGGAUUAUAAGGAUUUCUAGAAAAAAACCAAAAUUUCAGAAAUCUCUUGCCAGGAGAAGACUCAUAGUGGUUUGAUGGAUAGGUUUUAGAGUUCAUUACUCUAAUGUGAAUGUUGAUGUCUAUUGAAUUUUCAUGUAAAUGUUGCACUAGUCCUUGUGCGUUGAAUGGAAAUGGGCUUGCACCCUGGUGCAUGGUUCAUACAGAUGUUUCUGAGAUGUAAUCUGUAAUCUUCUAAAUGUAAAAAUCUGAAAGCCAUAGUCUUAAAAAAUAAAAAUAAAUUAAAAACUCAUCAUGUGUUCUGUGCAAAACGAACAGUUUAGAUGUUUGUGCUCUGAUGUCUCUUAAACUGAUAAGAAUCAAGAGAGUUUCAACACUGAACUUUGUAAAGCAGUUGUAAUGCAUUGUUUUUACUGUAUCUGCUGUGAAGUUGAUUAGUUACACUGAAAAAAUAAAUAGUGCCUGGUUACUUA
Pseudopipra pipra is the source of this 10724-nucleotide RNA transcript. It is a transcript of the gene named gamma-aminobutyric acid type A receptor subunit gamma1, with no coding region annotated. The transcript is spliced from 10 exons. Lineage: Eukaryota; Metazoa; Chordata; Aves; Passeriformes; Pipridae. The record is from RefSeq and is a predicted model, not a curated record.